RNAcentral lists this ribosomal RNA (207 nucleotides) under Triticum aestivum (bread wheat). RNAcentral's name for it is "partial small subunit ribosomal RNA". Lineage: Eukaryota; Viridiplantae; Streptophyta; Magnoliopsida; Poales; Poaceae. The record is from RNAcentral.
AUGCUCGUACUUUCUGUAUGGAGCUGGGAACGAUUGCCGGUUGGACGACCGAAGAACGUGAAGUACGAGCCAUGGGAAGACAAAAACGACCCACUAUGGUUCCUCACUUGGGCUUACAAGUGAGAUGUGUUAAAUGAGACGAUGGAUGACCCCUUGGUCAUGUACAAGCUGUACAUGAGCGAGUUGGACAUGAUUAUGGUUGAGUAG